Molecule: ribosomal RNA, 281 nt
Filed under: Nymphalis io (European peacock)
Lineage: Eukaryota; Metazoa; Arthropoda; Insecta; Lepidoptera; Nymphalidae
Description: Inachis io (European peacock) partial 28S ribosomal RNA
Rfam family: Eukaryotic large subunit ribosomal RNA
Source: RNAcentral
GCAUAUUAGUAAGCGGAGGAAAAGAAACUAACCAGGAUUUCCUUAGUAGCGGCGAGCGAACAGGAAAUAGCCCAGCACUGAAUCCCGCGGUUGUAACGAUCGCGGGAAUCGUGGUGUUCGGGAGGCAUCGCUUUCUAUUCUCGUCAUCUCCAAUCCACCAUGUUCUUCUACGGCGCCGUUUUCAUAUAGAGGGUGCUAGUUCCGUAGCGUCGAAUCGCGACGGCGAGAGGACGCUCCUCAGCUUCGUGCUCACUGAGUGCAGCGCUAAAUGUCUGGUAAGU